UGCUUUGUGAUAUUACUAACAUUAGGUUAAGUAUGAAAUAGAUGAGUAUACCCUCAUAUCGUUUUCUAAGGUGUACGACAUCUAUAGGGCAUUUGCAUAACUAAUCAUCAUAAACAUUGGGAGCCAUUUUGUUACUCAGAGAAGCCAAGUGAGGUGUCUGAGGUAAUAUAUCUGCUUAUAUCUUUGUAAUCUUGUGAUAUAUUUUUAUAUUAGUAUAAGUAAAUGAUCUAUUGUUAUAUAAAGACCUAAUUGAAGGAGAAUGUAAUAUGAAUAUUGAGCUAUAUUGUGUGAAAUAAGAGUUUUAUGUCAAGCAUGUAUUAGUGGAAGAUUUGUUCAUUUCAGUUUAACGGAGAUAAUUGGGAAAUAAUUGGACUAGAAAUGGAUGGUAAUGAAUUGCAUGUAAAAAGAAGAAUUCAAGAUGUAUCGAAGAUGCAAUAAAGUACCACAAAAAGAUCCCAAGCGUUUCCAGUGAAACCCACCGGUUCUUGGCUCUCUGCAACAGUUAAACUCAGUUAAACUCAUACACCUGUAUGAAGAGAAGAGGUAGAUUUACUGAGCUCAGUUAAACUCAGUUAAACAUAUCCUCAUGAGUUCAGGUAAACUCAUACACUUGUAUGCAGUUGAAAUUAGUUGGGUUCAGUUAAACUCAGCCCACAACAGAUGGAUACACUGAGUUACAGUUAAACUCAUCGCAUCAGUUAAACUCAAGACCUUCUGCAUGCAGUUAAACAUGCAAAAGUAAAAGAUCAGUCCAGAACUACAGUUAAACUCACAUCCUCAUGAGUUCAGAUUCAAGACCUCCUGUAAGCAGCAGUUACAUACUUCAGUGGGGAUGCUCGUGAGAGGAUUCACAUCUAUCAACCCAUCUUGCAAGAUAAUUCAAGGUCAAGAAGGAUAGAAGAACGGUGUGAAUGUUCGUGGGAAUCCAAAGGCAAGAGGAUAACCUAUAAAUUACUGGAAGAUUUCUGCUCUUUAAAGAAGCUCUUCAUUUCUACAGGUCCCAAAGGCUAGUGAACUUUUAACUAAUAGUUUAACGGAGAUAAUUGGGAAAUAAUUGGACUAGAAAUGGAUGGUAAUGAAUUGCAUGUAAAAAGAAGAAUUCAAGAUGUAUCGAAGAUGCAAUAAAGUACCACAAAAAGA
This is a long non-coding RNA of Penaeus indicus, 1140 nucleotides long. RefSeq lists it as uncharacterized. The record is from RefSeq and is a predicted model, not a curated record. Lineage: Eukaryota; Metazoa; Arthropoda; Malacostraca; Decapoda; Penaeidae. The transcript has 2 exons.